This 460-nucleotide ribosomal RNA is filed under the name uncultured bacterium. RNAcentral's name for it is "partial 16S ribosomal RNA". It matches the Rfam family "Bacterial small subunit ribosomal RNA", at positions 338 to 795 of the family's 1533-position model. The record is from RNAcentral.
CCUACGGGUGGCAGCAGUGAGGAAUAUUGGUCAAUGGACGGAAGUCUGAACCAGCCAUGCCGCGUGCAGGAAGACGGCUCUAUGAGUUGUAAACUGCUUUUGUACAAGGGUAAACCUGAAUACGUGUAUUCAGCUGAAAGUACUGUACGAAUAAGGAUCGGCUAACUCCGUGCCAGCAGCCGCGGUAAUACGGAGGAUCCAAGCGUUAUCCGGAUUUAUUGGGUUUAACGGGUGCGUAGGCGGAUUGAUAAGUUAGAGGUGAAAUGUCCGAGCUUAACUCGGGAACUGCCUCUACUACUGUUGAUCUAGAGAGUAGAUGAGGUAGGCGGAAUGUAUGGUGUAGCGGGGAAAUGCUUAGAGAUCAUACAGAACACCGAUUGCGAAGGCAGCUUACCAAUCUAUAUCUGACGUGGAGGCACGAAAGCGUGGGGAGCAAACAGGAUUAGAUACCCCAGUAGUC